RNAcentral lists this ribosomal RNA (253 nucleotides) under uncultured bacterium. Its description in RNAcentral is "partial 16S ribosomal RNA". It matches the Rfam family "Bacterial small subunit ribosomal RNA", at positions 524 to 776 of the family's 1533-position model. The record is from RNAcentral.
UACAGAGGUCCCGAGCGUUGUUCGGAUUCAUUGGGCGUAAAGGGUGCGUAGGCGGUUUUUUAAGUUGUAUGUGAAAUCCCGGGGCUUAACCCUGGAAUUGCAUUGAAUACUGAAGAACUAGAGUACUGGAGAGGAAACUGGAAUUUACGGUGUAGCAGUGAAAUGCGUAGAGAUCGUAAGGAAGACCAGUGGCGAAGGCGAGUUUCUGGACAGUUACUGACGCUGAGGCACGAAGGCCAGGGGAGCAAACGGG